ACCAACAACAAUUAACAUAGUUAUUGCACGCUAUAACCUGUGUAGCAUCCGAACAUGCUUCUCUGCAGAUGGAUGUAGAAAGAGGAAAGGAUAUAGAGACUUGGAAAAAUUUAGGAAUGGAAUUUCAGAACUGAACCCACGGAAGCUGCUGGUGGAUUGAAGCUGCGGCAGUAGAAAUGAUGGAGCAUGAACACCAAGGACGGUUGAGAACUGCUGGAGAUUACAGGAAAUAAAAAGGGGCUAUGCCAUGGAUCUGGCAACAAAAUGAGAACUUUUAAUUUGAUUUGCUACUAAUUCAGGUACAUGCUUUCUGCAGGAUGGUGUCUGCAUCUCUUACACUGGAACGGCGAUUUCACUUCAGAAAAGUAGCUAAAUGACUGAAACUGUUCCCCCACAAACAGUGGUCCAUUGUCACUGACCAAGUGUUCUGGAACACCAGUCCCUGAAACAGUGUGCGAGGCUGUAGUGUAGUCUAUUGGGAACACUUCUGGUUACUUUGUAGCUGCAUCCACGGUUACGAAGAUAUUUGCAUCAAUAAACAGUCUGGCAAAAUCCACAUGAACCCUUCGCCAGGGCAGUGCAGGCCAGAACCCCUUGCCAGGGCAGUGCAGACCAUUCCCAGGGAUGGAGAGGCGCUGCUCUUGGCAUCUUCUGGACAUAUUGGCAUCUCGUACAGUGCAUGGUAAACCGCUCGAUCUGCUGAACUAUCUCAGGCCACCAGACAAAGCUUCGAGCGAAUGCUUUCACUUUAACCAUGUCUAGAUGAUCGGAAUGUAGCUGCUCCAACACUUUAGCUCACAGCUUGGAUUGUACAGCAACUCUCAAUCACCUCAAAAGGCAACCUCCAUCAAGAGCAAGUUCAUCUAGGUGCUGGUAAAAGUAGGGGAAUGUAAGUUUCUGCUGCACGCUCCAGCCACACAACUUCCAAAAAAGGCCAGACUGUCCUUUGGCCUUGAGGCAUCCACCACCGCUUGAACUUUCUUGCCACAUUUGUGUAAUCCUUGUGCAUCAAUCGUAUGACCACACAAAUGAACGCUCAACAUCUCAAUAUAUAAAAUAAAAGCAAGUGGACAUUGGUCCUCAUGGGUCUGCUUUGUCAUUCAAUAAGAUGAAGACUGAUUUUCUUCUAUGUCUG
Mobula hypostoma (lesser devil ray) is the source of this 1135-nucleotide long non-coding RNA. RefSeq lists it as uncharacterized. The record is from RefSeq and is a predicted model, not a curated record. The transcript has 4 exons. NCBI's taxonomy places the organism in Eukaryota, Metazoa, Chordata, Chondrichthyes, Myliobatiformes, Myliobatidae.